RNAcentral lists this ribosomal RNA (280 nucleotides) under uncultured bacterium. RNAcentral describes it as "partial 16S ribosomal RNA". It matches the Rfam family "Bacterial small subunit ribosomal RNA", at positions 506 to 784 of the family's 1533-position model. The record is from RNAcentral.
UGCCAGCAGCCGCGGUAAUACGGAGAGUGCAAGCAUUAAUCGGAAUUAUUGGGCGUAAAGGGCGCGUAGGCGGAUAGGAAAGUUAGAUGUGAAAUUUCGGAGCUCAACUUCGAAGCUGCAUUUAAAACUCCCUGUCUAAGAGGGUUGACGGAGAAAACGGAAUUCCACGUGUAGCGGUGAAAUGCGUAGAUAUGUGGAAGAACACCUGUGGCGAAAGCGGUUUUCUAGUUGAUACCUGACGCUGAGGCGCGAGAGCAAGGGGAGCAAACAGGAUUAGAUA